UUUUUUUUUUUUUUCUGUGGAAACGAUAGGAUUCAACUAUGCUUUCUUGACAGGUAACCUUUUACACAUUUGGUAAUGACGAAACUCCUACUUUACUUUCUGUUGAAACUAGAGAGCUAAUCUCAAGGCCUGGACCUUAAGUCAUGUUACAAUAAAUAAAAUCAGUAUGGACCAUGAAGACUGUUUGAUCUACAGCCUACAUCUAAUACGUGAAAAGCCGUCUGAUUUCAUUAAUGACUAUUAAGCAUUGUAGAGCUCUCAAAGUUUGUCGACUACAGCAUGCUCAGUGUAAGUAAAAUUUAGUCAUUAUUCUUGCAUGUGAGAGUUUAAGGAGACAAAGUAGGAAUUUUGGAUCCAAUUUAUUACAAAAUAAAAAAAAAAAGAGGAUUUAACCAGGUUGCGACUCUAAUUUGACAUGAUAACCAGUUCCUCAAAUACCAAUAAGUGUACUGUACUUCAAAAGGACUGAGGAUUUGUAAUGAGGGACAGCACAAAGAAAUGCUUUUGUUCUGCACAAGUUUGCCGAGAGGAAGAAAUUCUGAUGCUCAGUGACUAAUGAAGCUCCAAAGACCUGUGUACUUUCUAGUGAUUAUCAAAGGUAAAUGAAGUAUGUAAAACUUAAUUUGUUUAAACAUAUUCAAUAGAUCUGCAGUCAACUUUUCCAUGCCUUGCCUAUAAUAAACUCUCAGUGGUUCAUUAUUAUUUGUUUCAAGUAGUAACCAUACACUGUGACAAAAGAGUUUCCUUCAAAUUUACUGGAUCAAGGGCCACAGUCUUCAUUAUGAAAAUAAUUAGGUAUUCAUUGUUGUGUUGUAUAUGCAAGUGCACAAAUUUUAUUUGUCUUUCAACUAUAUAGAACAUAAACUCAUCAUGGUAGCCAAUAGAACUUGAUUGUGUACUAAGUGAUGCUUCUUGACACAAAUUCAUGGUACCAAAAUACUGCAUCUUCCACUACAUUCACCUUGUGUUCAUGUGAUCAGGCCCCAAACUGAAUAUUUGUGCAUUGACUGGCACUGAAAGUAAAAUUGAGCAGACCUUGACACCAAUUUGUCUCUAUGUAUUGUCCGAAUAGAAAUGAAUCUGACCAGCUGGUCGGAAAACACCAGUGAACAGCAAUAAACAGAAGCAACCAAUCUUCUCAGCUCAUGCGUUUAAGUUCAAAACUGUGAAGUUGCAUUAGUGUGAAGAUUAUAUAAUCAAGUUCACACCAAUCAAGGGUCAUUUCCUUCUAUCAGGUCAAUUCUACACUAAGCAAGGAUUAUUUUUUGAUAUCAUAAAUUAAUGUAUUUAGAAAGAGAGGAAAAAGUAGAGAAAGAGAAGAAGAGAAACAUCAUCUGGAGUAAUUAACAAUAAAUCAAGGAGAAAAAAUAGCACAAAAGUGGGAAUUUUGCUUCUACCACAGUAGAUAACAGUAAUUUAUUAGAGUCCUCAGCUAAAUUUUUGCUACUAGUGAUCUGGAUUCUGCCCAUUUCAAGUUUCAUUCUUCUGGCUUCAGCUCAAAGAUUUUCUAUGAUUUCCAGAAGCACUUUCUUAGAACUCCCACC
Molecule: long non-coding RNA, 1544 nt
Filed under: Coffea arabica (coffee)
Lineage: Eukaryota; Viridiplantae; Streptophyta; Magnoliopsida; Gentianales; Rubiaceae
Description: long non-coding RNA (CARA_LNC002688)
Source: RNAcentral